Molecule: ribosomal RNA, 253 nt
Filed under: uncultured bacterium
Lineage: Bacteria
Description: partial 16S ribosomal RNA
Rfam family: Bacterial small subunit ribosomal RNA
Source: RNAcentral
GACGAACCACACAAACGUUAUUCGGAAUCACUGGGCUUACAGGGUGCGUAGGCUGUGCAGCAAGUGGGGUGUGAAAUCCUACGGCUUAACCGUAGAACUGCGCUCCAAACUGCUGUGCUUGAGGGAGAUAGAGGUGAGCGGAACUUACGGUGGAGCGGUGAAAUGCGUUGAUAUCGUAAGGAACACCGGUGGCGAAAGCGGCUCACUGGAUCUCUUCUGACGCUGAGGCACGAAAGCUAGGGGAGCGAACGGG